AACGAACGCUGGCGGCAUGCCUAACACAUGCAAGUCGAACGAAGUCUUCGGACUUAGUGGCGCACGGGUGCGUAACGCGUGGGAAUCUGCCCUUGGGUGCGGAAUAACUUCUCGAAAGGGAUGCUAAUACCGCAUAAUGUCGUAAGACCAAAGAUUUAUCGCCCAAGGAUGAGCCCGCGUAAGAUUAGCUAGUUGGUGGGGUAAAAGCCUACCAAGGCGACGAUCUUUAGCUGGUCUGAGAGGAUGAUCAGCCACACUGGAACUGAAACACGGUCCAGACUCCUACGGGAGGCAGCAGUGGGGAAUCUUGCGCAAUGGACGAAAGUCUGACGCAGCCACGCCGCGUGAGUGAAGAAGGCCUCGG
RNAcentral lists this ribosomal RNA (364 nucleotides) under uncultured bacterium. Its description in RNAcentral is "bacterial SSU rRNA". It matches the Rfam family "Bacterial small subunit ribosomal RNA", at positions 29 to 420 of the family's 1533-position model. The record is from RNAcentral.